This 468-nucleotide ribosomal RNA is filed under the name uncultured bacterium. RNAcentral describes it as "partial 16S ribosomal RNA". It matches the Rfam family "Bacterial small subunit ribosomal RNA", at positions 28 to 507 of the family's 1533-position model. The record is from RNAcentral.
GACGAACGCUGGCGGCGUGCUUAACACAUGCAAGUCGAACGGCAAGGCCCUGCUUUUGUGGGGUGCUCGAGUGGCGAACGGGUGAGUAACACGUGAGUAACCUGCCCUUGACUUUGGGAUAACUUCAGGAAACUGGGGCUACUCCCGUAUCGGAGCUCCUGCUGCAUGGUGGGGGUUGGAAAGUUUCGGCGGUUGGGGAUGGAUUCGCGGCUUAUCAGCUUGUUGGUGGGGUAGUUGCUUACCAAGGCUUCGGCGGAUAGCCGGCCUGGGAGGGUGACCGGCCACCUGGGGACUGAGAGACGGCCCAGACUGCAACGGGAGGCAGUAGGGGGGAAUAUUGCACAAUGGGCGGAAGCCUGAGGAAGCAACGCCGCGGGCGGGAUGACGGCCUUCGGGUUGUAAACCGCUUUCGCCUGUGACGAAGCGGGAGUGACGGUAAUGGGUAAAGAAGCACCGGCUAACUACGUG